UAAUACAGAGGUCUCAAGCGUUGUUCGGAUUCAUUGGGCGUAAAGGGUGCGUAGGUGGUGACGAAAGUCUGGUGUGAAAUCUCGGAGCUUAACUCCGAAAUUGCACCGGAUACUGCGUAACUCGAGGACUGUAGAGGAGAUCGGAAUUCACGGUGUAGCAGUGAAAUGCGUAGAUAUCGUGAGGAAGACCAGUUGCGAAGGCGGAUCUCUGGGCAGUUCCUGACACUG
RNAcentral lists this ribosomal RNA (228 nucleotides) under uncultured bacterium. RNAcentral describes it as "partial 16S ribosomal RNA". It matches the Rfam family "Bacterial small subunit ribosomal RNA", at positions 521 to 748 of the family's 1533-position model. The record is from RNAcentral.